This 279-nucleotide ribosomal RNA is filed under the name uncultured bacterium. RNAcentral's name for it is "partial 16S ribosomal RNA". It matches the Rfam family "Bacterial small subunit ribosomal RNA", at positions 230 to 507 of the family's 1533-position model. The record is from RNAcentral.
CUUGCGUCUGAUUAGCUAGUUGGUGUGGUAAUGGCGCACCAAGGCUACGAUCAGUAACUGGUCUGAGAGGAUGAUCAGUCACACUGGAACUGAGACACGGUCCAGACUCCUACGGGAGGCAGCAGUGAGGAAUAUUGGGCAAUGCACGAAAGUGUGACCCAGCAACGCCGCGUGGAGGAUGAAGGUAUUCUAUAUCGUAAACUCCUGUGAGAGCAGACGAAAGACAGAUUAUUAAUUUGGAUGACUGUAUGCUCAGAGGAAGCCCCGGCUAACUACGUG